GCUGGAUGAUGUGUGUGUGAGUGCUGGAUGGUGUGUGUGUGAGUGCUGGAUGAUGUGUGUGUGUGUGCUGGAUGAUGUGUGUGUGAGUGCUGGAUGAUGUGUGUGUGUGUGCUGGAUGAUGUGUGUGUGUGUGUGCUGGAUGAUGUGUGUGUGUGUGUGCUGGAUGAUGUGUGUGUGGGUGCUGGAUGGUGUGUGUGUGUGUGCUGG
Pelobates cultripes (western spadefoot toad) is the source of this 207-nucleotide non-coding RNA. Lineage: Eukaryota; Metazoa; Chordata; Amphibia; Anura; Pelobatidae. The record is from the annotation of a GenBank genome assembly.